RNAcentral lists this ribosomal RNA (493 nucleotides) under uncultured bacterium. Its description in RNAcentral is "partial 16S ribosomal RNA". It matches the Rfam family "Bacterial small subunit ribosomal RNA", at positions 29 to 507 of the family's 1533-position model. The record is from RNAcentral.
ACGCACGCUGGCGGCGUGCUUAACACAUGCCAGUCGAACGGUGAAGCGCCUUCCUUUUUGGUGGGUGUGGAUGAGUGGCGAACGGGUGAGUAACACGUGAGUAACCUGCCCCCUUCUUCUGGAUAACCGCAUGAAAGUGUGGCUAAUACGGGAUAUUCUGGGUCUGUCGCAUGAUGGGUCUGGGAAAGAUAUUGUUUCGGUGGGGGAUGGGCUCGCGGCCUAUCAGCUUGUUGGUGGGGUGAUGGCCUACCAAGGCGGUGACGGGUAGCCGGCCUGAGAGGGUGGACGGUCACACUGGGACUGAGACACGGCCCAGACUCCUACGGGAGGCAGCAGUGGGGAAUAUUGCACAAUGGGCGCAAGCCUGAUGCAGCGACGCCGCGUGAGGGAUGGAGGCCUUCGGGUUGUGAACCUCUUUCGCCAGUGAAGCAGGCCUGCCUCGUUUGUGGGUGGGUUGACGGUAGCUGGAUAAGAAGCGCCGACUAACUACGUG